UAAACAGAAUUACAGUGUUAAAUUAUCAAUUAGUUUAAUAUUCUAGAACUUUAAGUUUAUUUUCUUUUUACAUAUACUAAUUAAAUUUUGAAAUAAUCAAUCAUUAACGAACCGCUUGUUGAUUAAUUAGAAUGUAUUACGGUUAAUUGCAGAGUAUCUACUUCGAAUUUAUUUUGGACGUCGACGAGAUCCGACUGGAGAUUAAGUAUAAUAUUUUAAUAUGAAUGAUUUAUUAAAUAUAACUUUUCAUUUUUCAUAAUUUUGAUGAUAUAUGCUUAAUGAAGCAAGUUUAUUUAUCACUAUUUCGAAUUUUUAUUAAUAUUUUCCGAUCAUUUGCAGGUUAAAUACGAUUUAAAUUAGAAGCUGCUCAAUAAAAUUCGAUGUUAAACAACUGCAGUAUUUUACUUAAAACCUUUUAAAGCUAUGAUAAUCAAUUAUUAAACGUUUUCUCUCAGAUUAAUUAUGAAUGAUAUAUGAAGAUGGAGUUAUAUCAAAUCACGGCGCCAUCUUGUAAACCUACGAGACCGGAUGCUAUGAAUGUAUUCAACUGAAGUAGUAACGUGUAACGAUGCGCAGUUAUCACAUUUCACAGAUUAUCCACAGUCUGCUGAGAUAUUUCUCAUGGGUCCAAUAACCAUGAAUAUUUAAUAUGGCAUUUGUUGCUCUCUUUUAACAUACAGAUGCGAUUGUUAUGACUUAUGAGAAUUGAAGCGCUACUUUCCAUGAAUGAUUUGCCUAUUAUUUUAUAGUCUGUUAUAAACGCAAAACACUAAGAAAAAUGUUAACAGAUAAUUAUAAAUCAUCAUCGAGCCAUAAAUCAGAAUUCAUGAUCUAGGAGCACGCGAUGACAACUUUUGAUUAGUGGCCUAUCAAAAGAAUGAAUUAAUAGCAUCCUUCGUAAAUCUAUAGUAAAUAACUUCCUUAGAAGCAAAUGAUAAAAAAUUAUCAAAGAUAAAAAUAGAGGAAAGAAGUCAACUGUAACUAUGUCCCAAAGGAAACUCGACUAAGUUCACGUUUAAAAUGUAUAUCACAGACUACACGUACUUUCUGGAAUUGCACUGGAUAUUCCUUAGAGAGUGCUUACCCACAAAUCCACGAAUGUCUUCUUCUAUGGGAGUAAUUUGGUACUGGCAAAGUCAACCCACUUCGUCUAUCAUCAGAGCGUUGUCUUUGAGUCGAUAACAUUGUCUACUUGUAACUGACUUCAAAAACCGGACAUGAAGAAAUUCCUCUCCUUUAUACUUUCUUCAUUAAGGACAAGACGUUUCAGCAGUUAGGAUUUCAUACCCUUUUAUUGUUAGAAGCAUCUAUUCAAGUAUAUUCUUGUAUGAAAGAGAAAGAGCUCAUAUCAAUGGAAAGAUUAAUUGAUUGUAAGAAAAUGUGAAAAGUUGAUUGUAAGUAUAAAAUACUGUAGGCUAGACUAUUAAAAAAGGCAUUUUAAACCUCAUACAUGCAUAUAAUAAUACUACUUUAUACACAUAAUACAAGGCCGGUAGAUUAAUACAUAUAUUUUUAUUAGGUCCAUAACUAGAAGAGAUAGUAUUGGCUCGUAUAAAAUUUUGAUCCAUCCCUGUUUAUUGUUUC
Molecule: long non-coding RNA, 1584 nt
Filed under: Centruroides sculpturatus (bark scorpion)
Lineage: Eukaryota; Metazoa; Arthropoda; Arachnida; Scorpiones; Buthidae
Description: uncharacterized LOC111632924, transcript variant X3
Source: RNAcentral